CCUACGGGUGGCAGCAGUGAGGAAUAUUGGUCAAUGGGCGGGAGCCUGAACCAGCCAAGUCGCGUGCAGGAUGACGGCCCUAUGGGUUGUAAACCUCUUUUGUCGGGGAGUAAAGUGCCGCACGUGUAUGGUUUGGCAAGUACCCUGUGAAAAAGCAUCGGCUAAUUCCGUGCCAGCAGCCGCGGUAAUACGGAGGAUGCGGGCGUUAUCCGGAUUUAUUGGGUUUAAAGGGUGCGUAGGCGGACGCUUAAGUCAGCGGUAAAAUUGCGGGGCUCAACCUCGUCGAGCCGUUGCGACUGGGUGCCUUGAGUGCGCGAGAAGCACGCGGAAUGCGUGGUGUAGCGGUGAAAUGCAUAGAUAUGACGAAGAACUCCGAUUGCGAAGGCAGCGUACUGGAGCCCAACUGACGCUGAAGCACGAAGGCGUGGGUAUCGAACAGGAUUAGAUACCCUUGUAGUC
This 459-nucleotide ribosomal RNA is filed under the name uncultured bacterium. RNAcentral's name for it is "partial 16S ribosomal RNA". It matches the Rfam family "Bacterial small subunit ribosomal RNA", at positions 338 to 795 of the family's 1533-position model. The record is from RNAcentral.